This 366-nucleotide long non-coding RNA is filed under the name Prunus persica (peach). Its description in RNAcentral is "long non-coding RNA (PPER_LNC006394)". The record is from RNAcentral. Lineage: Eukaryota; Viridiplantae; Streptophyta; Magnoliopsida; Rosales; Rosaceae.
AGGGGCAGAGGUCUGGUGGCCAUGCUCGGGUUGGAUGAGCUCGGAGGUCGACGAGGGAUCAAAAUGCGGGACUGGAAUGCUGGACGGAGCGAGGGACUCUAGAAGCACAGAUAUCUGACCCUGAAGCUCGGCCACCUUUGCUGUCAAAGCAGUCACAUGAUUGUUUGACUACGACGAUGAAUGGGGUCUAGGUUCCCUCCACAGGGCAUUCCCCAUCCCUCGAUAAUAUGUCCCUAGCCUCCUCCCGAGAGUCUGAUCCAACGUUCCUGUCAAGAUCUGAAACCCAGCAUCCUGUGGAGGAUCCACAGACUCGAGCAGGGUAUCGGGAGGAAGUUGGGAGGUGGACUCCUGAAGAACCAACUGGCU